This is a long non-coding RNA of Rosa chinensis, 153 nucleotides long. RefSeq lists it as uncharacterized. NCBI's taxonomy places the organism in Eukaryota, Viridiplantae, Streptophyta, Magnoliopsida, Rosales, Rosaceae. The record is from RefSeq and is a predicted model, not a curated record. The transcript is spliced from 3 exons.
GGAGAGGUUGAAGAAUUUGGUCGAAGAGGUUGCUGGGUUUUGGAAGAGAUAGCUGAUGUUCACAAAAGGGAAUUUUCACGUCAUCAUCUGAGUAGAAGUUUAACAAGGUUAAAUGUCAUUUUGCAUAUCAAUUUCUACAAGACAAUCUCAGAG